GAUGAACGCUGGCGGCGUGCCUAAUACAUGCAAGUCGAGCGAACGGACGAGAAGCUUGCUUCUCUGAUGUUAGCGGCGGACGGGUGAGUAACACGUGGAUAACCUACCUAUAAGACUGGGAUAACUUCGGGAAGCCGGGCUAAUACCGGAUAAUAUUUUGAACCGCAUGGUUCAAAAGUGAAAGACGGUCUUGCUGUCACUUAUAGAUGGAUCCGCGCUGCAUUAGCUAGUUGGUAAGGUAACGGCUUACCAAGGCAACGAUGCAUAGCCGACCUGAGAGGGUGAUCGGCCACACGGGAACUGAGACACGGUCCAGACUCCUACGGGAGGCAGCAGUAGGGAAUCUUCCGCAAUGGGCGAAAGCCUGACGGAGCAACGCCGCGUGAGUGAUGAAGGUCUUCGGAUCGUAAAACUCUGUUAUUAGGGAAGAACAUAUGUGUAAGUAACUGUGCACAUCUUGACGGUACCUAAUCAGAAAGCCACGGCUAACUACGUG
Molecule: ribosomal RNA, 496 nt
Filed under: uncultured bacterium
Lineage: Bacteria
Description: partial 16S ribosomal RNA
Rfam family: Bacterial small subunit ribosomal RNA
Source: RNAcentral